GCUCCCAUAGUGAAAUGGAUAUCACACGAGUCUUCGGAACUCGGUUUAGGGGUUCGAGCCCUCUUGGGAGCGCCA
Molecule: transfer RNA, 75 nt
Filed under: Clostridia bacterium
Lineage: Bacteria; Bacillati; Bacillota; Clostridia
Description: tRNA-Arg
Rfam family: tRNA
About the family: Transfer RNA (tRNA) molecules are approximately 80 nucleotides in length. Their secondary structure includes four short double-helical elements and three loops (D, anti-codon, and T loops).
Source: RNAcentral